Non-coding RNA from Nothobranchius furzeri (turquoise killifish), 734 nucleotides. Lineage: Eukaryota; Metazoa; Chordata; Actinopteri; Cyprinodontiformes; Nothobranchiidae. The record is from RefSeq and is a predicted model, not a curated record.
AAGUUUUUCUCGACUUCCUCCUGCCCUCUGUAUCUGCUGCUGUUCCUUUGGCCUCUGAGAAACGCGCUCGUUUUGCUGCUUUCUUCAAAUUCAAGAGUCUACCUCUAUCAGACUCGGUCAUCUGAGUUAGUCAUGAUGCAGGAUCGCUGCUCGCUCUGAUCCAUCCUGCUCACACUCUCCGACGGAAAAGCCUCGGAACGUCAUCAGCUGCUUUGUUUCUAUUGCAGCUGUUAGCUAAACACGGCUAAAGCAGACCUGCUACCACUUAAGGAUCUGGGACUGAGUCAUCAUCUGGAUCUGGACAACAUGGAUACAGUGGCUGAGCGGAGAGCUGACCAGGAACAUUGGUGGUGGCAAAACCCAGUUGGGUCUGUGAUGGAAUGAUGCACGCCUGGAGUGAUUGCCAUCUCAUCCACAGUGAGCACACUCUCUCCAUGGUUCUAACAUCAGGCAGAGGGAUACUCGUGUCCUGAAGAAACCUGCAGCCUGUUGAACCCACUGAAAAACAGCUGUUUUCCAGCUGGGUUCCCUGCUUGCAUGGCCUGUUCCUUUCUCCUCCUGGCCCUCAUGGCUUCCUGGGAUGUCCCUAUCUCCUGAUACCAUCUCAUGUCCCCCCUCACUUUCCCUCAUCUCAUUUGCCUCACUGCUGCUGCUGCUUUCCUCAUUCUCUGAAAUUAUAAUGGCACUCUUAGAAUAAAGAAUCAUUUUAAAAUAAAAUGAAUACAAAUGUCUAA